CGACGUAAAGAACUUGCCUCACAGCUAGGGACAACAUUUAGAAAUGAAUGCUAAUACCUGAUAUUAUGAUUUUAAGGCAUCUUAGAAUUAUGAAAGCUAUAAGCACUGUGAGAGAGCUUCGCGUCCCAUUAGCUAGUUGGAGAGGUAACAGCUCACCAAGGCGAUGAUGGGUAGCCGGCCUGAGAGGGUGAACGGCCACAAGGGGACUGAGACACGGCCCUU
RNAcentral lists this ribosomal RNA (222 nucleotides) under uncultured bacterium. Its description in RNAcentral is "partial 16S ribosomal RNA". It matches the Rfam family "Bacterial small subunit ribosomal RNA", at positions 113 to 334 of the family's 1533-position model. The record is from RNAcentral.